UACGGAGGGGGCUAGCGUUGUUCGGAAUUACUGGGCGUAAAGCGCACGUAGGCGGCUUUGUAAGUUAGAGGUGAAAGCCCGGGGCUCAACUCCGGAAUUGCCUUUAAGACUGCAUCGCUAGAAUUGUGGAGAGGUAAGUGGAAUUCCGAAGUGUAGAGGUGAAAUUCGUAGAUAUUCGGAAGAACACCAGUGGCGAAGGCGACUUACUGGACACAUAUUGACGCUGAGGUGCGAAAAGCGUGGGGAGCAAACAGG
RNAcentral lists this ribosomal RNA (255 nucleotides) under uncultured bacterium. Its description in RNAcentral is "partial 16S ribosomal RNA". It matches the Rfam family "Bacterial small subunit ribosomal RNA", at positions 524 to 776 of the family's 1533-position model. The record is from RNAcentral.